RNA transcript from Musa acuminata AAA Group (dessert banana), 3141 nucleotides. It is a transcript of the gene named plant intracellular Ras-group-related LRR protein 4, with no coding region annotated. Lineage: Eukaryota; Viridiplantae; Streptophyta; Magnoliopsida; Zingiberales; Musaceae. The transcript is spliced from 6 exons. The record is from RefSeq and is a predicted model, not a curated record.
GUGGAUCCAUUACGCCGGCGCCGGUAGGACCAUCGCCCACUGCUUGCCUUCCCGUCCCAUGUUCUCCUUCGCUCUCUGUUUUUAUAGUAUCAGAUCAGCAGAAACCCAUAAAUCCAGCUUACAUUUGUUUUGUAUUAAGACAAAGUGGCCUUCUUGAGUGGCUCUUCUUCUCUCUCUCUCUCUCUCUCUCUCUCUCUCUCUUAGGAUCAAACUAACAGUAGCCCAUAAUUCCAGCUUACAUUUAUUAUUACAGGACAAUUUCCUAAUAGCUGAGAGCAGAUACAGCUGGAUUUUGAGGGACACAGAGAGUGCGCUGUUGUGAAGCGAAAUCGAGAAGAGAGAGAGAGAGAGAGAAGAGAGGGACGGAGGGAGAAAUGUACGCGAUUUGUAAUAAAGAUCGCUACUUUAUCGUCCUUCCGGGCGUUCCGUUUCCUCAUCACUGUUGCCUCGCUGUCUUCCUCAGGGAUCCAUGAGAUAGAAGCCCUGCUCUCUCUAUCUCUCUUGCUUCUUCGUUGGUGGUUCAUCUGUUUCUCUCUUCGCAAUUAGAGCUUGUGUUGGUGAGAUCCCGUUAUAAUUGGGUGAGACUCUAGGGAAUUGAUGUAAAAGAUUGGGUUUUUCUUCUUGGUUUGUGGAGAAGGAUGGGUUUUUGAGGCCGUCUUUCGAGAUUUCCUACGCGUGAUUCUUCUCGUGGUUGGAGAAUUUUCUGGAUUUGCUCAUCGCCAUUGUGCUCAAAGCGGCGCCUUUCGGGUAGUGCUGCGCCAGAGUUCAGAUCUUUGUUGAAUUUGUGUGGGGAAGAUGAUUUAGGUGGUCUCCUUUUUCUUGCUUGUUACCCAAAACUUGUUCUGGAAAAGCAAAGGAGCUCGUGAGGUGAUAUCUUUUUCUCUCAUCGAAGCUCCCCAAACAGUUCCUCCUGAUCUGCGUGUCUGAAUUUGUUGCAAGAAAUGGCUUCUUCUUUACAUUCUGUCGACAGUGUUGUCGAAGAGAUCAUGAGGCUUCAUCGAUCUCUGCCGCCACGACCAGGAAUAGAUGAGGUUGAGGCUGCGAUGGCGUUAGUUCGCAACGUGGACAAGGAAGAGCAAACCCGCAUCGAUGCCAUCCAGAAUCAGAAUAAGGGAUUCGAGGUCCCCGAAGAGCUCUUCUUUGUGCUGCAAGAGAUGCAGAAGAAUGUAGUGUGCCAUCAGAGCAAAGAACAGAAGCGGGAAGCUCUUAAGUUGCUUGAUCUGGAAAACGUCCAUAUCUUGUUUGAUAAAUUGAUCCAGAGAGCAUCCAGCUGUCUUCCUUCAAGCUCAAGUGGAUUGGCUCCAUCAAUCCCUAUGAACUCUGAGAAGGUUAGCACGGCCAAUCUCAAGACUCCUACUGGUUAUUCAAGUAGCCCCACAUCUGUCUUCUAUUCAGAGAAAGAGGCUGGAAGGAGCAGUGAUCGUGUUACUAGAGAUGACAGUUUCCUGAAAAUACCAAAGUCCCAUAUAGAUGGGAUUGGUACUAAGUCCCACCUGUCCGGAGGAAUGAUCCCAAACCAGACAACUAGGAAAGAAGUUAUUUCUGGAGAAGAAGGUGGGAAGCUGAGCCUUAUUAAACUAGCUAGCUUGAUUGAAGUCUCUGCAAAGAAAGGCAAUCAUGAACUCAAUCUUCAGAAUAAGCUGAUGGAUCAAAUAGAUUGGUUACCUGAUUCGAUUGGGAAGCUCUCUGGCCUGGUUACUCUUGACCUUUCAGAAAAUCGAAUUGUAGCCUUGCCUGCCACGAUCGGCUCUCUUUUUUCUUUAACAAGAUUGGACCUCCACUCGAAUAGAAUUUCUCAAGUUCCUGAUUCUAUUGGGGAUCUUUGUAGCCUGCUGUUUCUAGAUCUGAGAGGGAAUAAUUUAACAUCGUUGCCAUCUAUAUUUGGUAAAUUAGUGCAUCUUGAGGAACUUGACUUGAGCUCAAACCAGCUUUCCUCACUGCCAGACGCAAUUGGGAAUCUUAUACGGUUGAAGAAAUUAAAUGCAGAAACAAAUGACAUUGAGGAGCUCCCACACACUAUUGGGCAUUGUGUCGCUCUUGUUGAGCUUCGGUUAGAUUAUAAUCGUCUGAAGGGCCUUCCAGAAGCUGUUGGGAGGUUAGAAUCUUUGGAGAUUCUCUCUGUUCGCUACAAUAAUAUCAAAGGACUUCCAACAACAAUGACAUCAUUAUCAAAGUUGAAGGAGCUUGAUGUUAGCUUUAAUGAGCUUGAAUCAAUUCCUGAGAGCUUAUGCCUUGCAACUACACUUAUCAAACUAAACGUAGGGAAUAACUUUGCCGAUUUACAAUCUCUUCCACGUUCCAUUGGCAAUCUUGAGUUGCUUGAGGAGCUAGAUAUCAGCAACAACCAGAUUAGAGUUCUUCCUGAUUCUUUUGGGAUGUUGUCGCAGCUUCGUGUGCUUCAUGCAGAAGAGAACCCCUUGGAGGUUCCACCAAGGCAUAUAGCUGAGAUGGGUGCACAAGCUGUUGUGCAGUACGUGGCUGAAUAUGUCACUAAAAAGGAUGUUAAGGUGCAACCUGAAAAGUCCAAGCCAUGUUGGGUUCAGUAUUGCUUUUUCUGUAGACCUAACAAAAGGAAGCAUGACGGCUUCAGCUAUGUAAACUAAUUAUUGAUUUCAGGGGAUCAUCUUUCCUGAUGUGGAUGCGUGAUCUUGAUGCACACUUGCAAACAGUUUUUUCCGGAUUCAUGUAACAAAUGUCUCUACUAUCUUGAAGAGGGGAUCGAGCGAUGGCACGGCGAGGCGCCGGAGGAGGAGACGGGAGCGCGCUAAAGAGGGCUCUGUUGGUGUCAGGAGGCCUGGCGCUGGCGUGGCUUGCGGUGGAAACCGCCUUCAAGCCCCUCCUCGACCGCCUCCGUGGCGCCAUCUCCCGCUCAGACCCCGCCCACGACCCUGAUGACGACGACGACUUGCGGGGUGAUGAGAAGGGCGAUACUCGUGGCAGGAACAAAGCCCUAAACGAGGAGCAGCAGGACGGCGGAGCUCCCCCCUCCAAUUAGAUCCUUGCCCGUGACUCGUGUUGGUUGAGAGGUCUCAACCCAACCUCCGUACUUCGCUCCGUUCACCUAAAGACUUACUGGUCUUGUUAUCGUCGGAUUGCUUGUUUUCAUCGACACCAUGUGCUCGCAUAUAUUCCUUCCUUCCA